This 327-nucleotide ribosomal RNA is filed under the name uncultured bacterium. RNAcentral's name for it is "bacterial SSU rRNA". It matches the Rfam family "Bacterial small subunit ribosomal RNA", at positions 28 to 334 of the family's 1533-position model. The record is from RNAcentral.
GACGAACGCUGGCGGCGCGCCUAACACAUGCAAGUCGAACGGAGAACUUUUGGAAUGAGACUUCGGUUGAGUGAAGAUAGUUCUUAGUGGCGGACGGGUGAGUAACACGUGAGCAACCUGCCUUUCAGUGGGGAAUAACGUUUGGAAACGAACGCUAAUACCGCAUAACGUCAUUUAUUCGCAUGAAUGAAUGACCAAAGGAUUUAUUCGCUGAAAGAUGGGCUCGCGUCCGAUUAGAUAGUUGGUGAGGUAACGGCCCACCAAGUCGACGAUCGGUAGCCGGACUGAGAGGUUGAACGGCCACAUUGGGACUGAGACACGGCCCAG